RNAcentral lists this long non-coding RNA (449 nucleotides) under Homo sapiens (human). RNAcentral's name for it is "HSALNT0369055". Lineage: Eukaryota; Metazoa; Chordata; Mammalia; Primates; Hominidae. The record is from RNAcentral.
UCUUUUUCUUCAUACUGAGGGUAUAUGUACUAGUUUUCUAAUGCUACAUAACAAAUUAUUACACACUUAGCAACUAAAAACAUCCAUUUAUUACAUCACAGUUCUCCAGGAUAGAAGUCUGAGCACAAAGCACCUGGGUUCUCUUUCAUGGUCUUGCAAAGUUGAAAUCAAGAUGUCAUCCAUGUUGUGGUUCUCACGCGGAGUUUGGGAUCCUCUUUCAAUGUUCACAGUGUGCUGAGGUCUGUCUUACAUCGUCUCACGAAAUCACCACUGCAACCCUGUAAGGCAGACUUUCCCCUUAUGAUAUCAAGAUGGCUCACCAGCAGCUCCAAACUCACAUCUCUGCCAGCAUGACAACUCUAGAGGAAAAAGUUCUUCUUUCUCCCAACCUCCAAAGGAAAGGAAGGAAAUUGAUAUGCCAAAAACCAUACAAAAGAUAAAUCCAGGAG